AGAAGUUUAGGCUAAUAGUAAGCCGAGAGCCUUCAAAGCUCAAAAUAUGGACCAUACCCAUAAUUUCUG
This 69-nucleotide transfer RNA is filed under the name Anolis heterodermus. RNAcentral describes it as "tRNA-Trp". It matches the Rfam family "tRNA". Rfam says of the family: Transfer RNA (tRNA) molecules are approximately 80 nucleotides in length. The record is from RNAcentral. Lineage: Eukaryota; Metazoa; Chordata; Lepidosauria; Squamata; Anolidae.